AACACUCCGUUUUUCUCAAUUAGAGAAGAUCCACGACCUCACGUUAUAGUUUUCGUUUCACGGACUAGUUUUUUUUUUUUUUUUUUUUUUUUUUUUUUUUUUUUUUUUUCUUCUUUUCGCUCUCUCUUUCUUGUCUGAUAAGAAUAGAACUCCAUGCCUUUAUGAACCUUCCCACCCUAGAAUUUGCGUCGUUCUGGGAUACAAUUUCCGUUGCACCGUUUUUUCAGAGUUCAGAUGCGCCAUAUGGUUUUGUCGCACGCUUAGUCAGAAUCAAGAAUAACUGGAGUAAGGCAAUCGUUUAAUACUCUGCACCAUUUGCUUAAUGCGCAUCAAUAAUCUAUGGAAAAGGUGUUCGUGCUACGUUACGUGGGAAUAACGACAAGGGAUGAAUUUGGUUAAAGAAAGAAUUAGUGUUUGGAGUGGAAAGUUAGAGUAUAUUGAAGGUAGAUACUUUGAGAGCAUUUGAUGGGGGUAUGAGCAACUGGGAAGAUAUGUAGUGUGGGGAAUCUGCAUUUAGUGGCCCUUGUUCUUGUAUAAUAUUGUCCAAACAUGGAAUAAUAUUCUCAUCACUUGAAGUCCACUUCCAUAAAAGUAAUGCUUACAAAUUCGCCAACCUUCCAUAAAAUUUUUUGUUGUUUUAGCUCAGAAGUAUAUCGAGAACUCUAAGCCAGAACAUUUAAUGGUUUUUUUUUUAUUAUUAUUGUCACCCCUGUUUAAUCUAUUGUUUAGAGUUUAAAUCCAAUGUAUUUGUAAGUACAAACACUCUUUUUAAUAUUAUUAAGAGUAACUUAAAUGUCUUAAUGACAUUA
Vigna unguiculata (cowpea) is the source of this 809-nucleotide long non-coding RNA. RefSeq lists it as uncharacterized. Lineage: Eukaryota; Viridiplantae; Streptophyta; Magnoliopsida; Fabales; Fabaceae. The record is from RefSeq and is a predicted model, not a curated record.